UUUGGCGCAGCUCUGUGGCAUAUAGGAGUUCCCAGGCUGUUGGUCAAAUAAGACCUGCAAAAUGCUGGCCUACACCAUAGCCAUGGCAACACAGGAUCCAAGCCCACUCAUUCCCCAUCCCACACAUACAUCUGUCAGUGAAAGAGGAAGCUUCUCCAGAGAGAUGUACAUGAACACAAUCUCGUGUGAACACAACCUUUUAUUUGCUGACCACGGUGCUAUGGAAACCAGGCCAACUUGUGAUUUUUAAUUAUUUUUAAAAUCUGUAUUCUAAUGAAAAAUUAAAAUAGUAAAAAACUAUAGAGACAUCAGCAGCCAGACCCUAGGAAGAGAGGUUUUCCAGAGGCAAGUAGAGUUAUUAAAAACUAAACAAAACUUGGAGUUCCCGUUGUGGUUCAGUGGUUCAUGAACGCGACUACUAUUACCAGGAGGAUGUGGGUUUGAUCCAUGACCUUGUUCAGUGGGGGUAAGGAUCCAGCAUUGCUGUGAGCUGUGGUGUAGGUCACAGACACAACUCGGAUCUGGCAUUGCUGUGACGUGGCAUAGGGUUCAUAACCUACUGAGCCACAAUGGGAACACUUAGACUUUUAUUUUUGACAUAUAUACUUUUUCCCAUCUAUUAAGAUAUCGAAACACAAACACCUGAAUUUUGAAAAGAAGAAGUGAAGUUGAAAAAAAAGAACUGGUGAGGCACUAUGAAUACAAUAUUUACAAUUAAAAUGAGAGGUAAAUUUGUUGAACCAGGCAUACUGCUUAGCAUGUUAUAUACCUUAUCUCAUUUAAUCUCCACAAUAGUUGUAUGGCAUAAAUAUAUUUUAGUUCCCACUUUAUGGAUGAGGACAUUACCAGUCUAUGGAACUCAGUAUCCCCUAAAUACCACGAGGUGAGUUGAUUUCAACCUCACAACUUUUCUUUUUCCUAUUUUUGGCUGCCCAGCGGCACAUGGAGGUCCCGGGCCAGGCAUCGGAUCUGAGCCACAGUUGUGACCUACACCACAGCUGUGGCAACACGGGGUCUUUUUACCCACUGCGCUGAGCCACUGAUCAAACUGGCAUCCUGGCGCUGCAGAGCUGCCUCCCCCAAUCCCACUGCACCACUGCGGGAACUCCUCAACCGCACAACUUUUCAUUUCGUUAACCAAGACACAAGAAGUCCAGCAUAAGUUACCCAUGACAGUUUUGCAGACAGUAUAGCUUGAUAAGCAACAGCACUAGCUAAAGCCUAGCCCCGUCAUUUACUUGACACGUGACCCCUGGAACUUAGCGUCUUGGUACUUCAGUUUCUGAAGCAAAUGAAAAGACAGACGGGUUCUCAGUGGUUAUGUGUUCAUAUCAACACAUUCAUAUUUUCACGGAAGAAUCGCUUCUAAUGACAGGAACGGCAGCUCUAAGAGAAGGUAGAAUUAUGUAAAACUCUGGCAAAAUAACCUAAACAGUUUCUGGGCGACCAGUCUCCCUUGCCUAAUGACUUAUUCUCUUGGGCAUCUAGCCUCCUGGUCUCCGUGCCUUUCCAAUGGAAAAUAAACAAAUUUAGUAAACUCCACCUGGCUCCCUGUGGAUUGUUUAUCAUGAAAUACCUUCCAAUUGAGCCUGAUUGCCAGCCUUUGGAGGAGAGCUGUGCUCCGAAAAUUGGAGGCUUUGUAAGGGGACCUCUGACUGAGGUCCUGCACUGUGGGCGAGGGAAGAAAAAGCCACUGACACGAUGCCUGUCUACCCUCUGGCUCACGUAAAGUCACUGCCUUAAAUACUCAGCAUCUGGGAAUAUAAUAAUUCUGCCUACUCUAGCUUUAAAGGUGAAUUUUGCAAUUUUUGAAAAGGUCCUUAGAAUCACAUUGCAGAAUUAAAGGGUGUAUUAUAAUUAUCAAUAUCAAUAGUAAUAAAAGUUUAUUAAAGGUCAUUAAAAUGAAAGGGGAUGGCUCUAGAUCCCAUCAAUCUGAAUUGACUCCCUCCUCUUGUGUUAAUUAGAAAACUCAGAUAAUGGUUCUAUGGGGGAGUACAGGGAAAAUUUAAUUACGAAAGUUUAAUGGGCCACUAUCUACUUCCUGCCAGAUUAAAAACUGAUGAUUUAUACAAUUUUAGAUACUACCACAGGCUUUUCUAACAAAACAUGUUGCAGAGAAUGUAAAAGUUUACGGAGAGCUUUCUAUCCACUAUAAAACAAUGCUAGCAAAAGCCAUGUUUGCACACUCCUUAAAAAAAAAAAAAGUCACCCUAGAAAAUAUAUAUUCUGCAUUUACUAAUGCUUACAAGCUUAAAAUAGGCAACAAUCAGAAAGUGUAGAUAUUUGGUACAUAUCAGUUAAAAAUAAAAUGGUCUGUUAUCUUCUUGGCGUUGGAGAAAGGAGAGCAUAUUGGGAGAGAGAGAUUUUAAGACCCCAAGGAAAGAUGUCUUAUUGUUUUUGACACGUUUGUCAUUGAGCGCUCUCUUCUUUGAGUCUUAGUGACGCAUUCAUUUCCCUUGAUCCGGAGCUGCCUGUUACCAACACAAAGUGAUAGGAUUGUGCAAAGCUUGGAAUUUAAAGGAUGUGGAUGCAGAGAAAAGAAAUGGGUUGCAUAGAUAGGAGGAGGUGAGAAAAAGAACUAAGCAGCCACUCAGUCUUACUCUUAAUUUCUAAACGGUGUAGCAUAGGGUCAUUGAGGAGUUAGCUUUUCUUUUUUUUUCUUCUUCUUCUCUUUUUAAAUUUUAUUUUAUUGGAGUAUAAAUGACUUACAGAGUUGUAUUAGUUUCAUGUAUAUAGCAAAGUGAAUCAGUUAUACAUAAAUAUAUAUCCAUUCUUUUUCUUCCCCCAUAUACCUUAUUACAAACUAUUUAGGCGAUUUCCCUGUACUAUACAGAAGGUUCUAGUUAACUAUCUAUUUUAUACAGUAGUGUGUAUAUAUUAUUCCCACCCUCCUAAUUCCUACCCCUUACAAUGAUUUCCCCUAUGGUAACAACUAUAAGAUGGGUUUUGAAAACAAAGUUUGUUUCUCUUUUAUAAGUCUGUUCUUUUUUGUCAUUUUUAUUAGAUUCCACAUAUAAGUGACAUCAUGUGAUAUUUGUCUGUCUCUGUCCGGUUUACUUCACUCAGAAUGAUAAUCUCUAGUUCCAUCCAUGUUGCUGCAGAUGGCAUUAUUUCAUUCUUUUUUAUGGCUGAGUAAUGUUCCAUUUGUAUAUCUGUACGACAUCUUUAUCCAUUCCCCUGUUGAUGGACAUUUAGGUUGUUUCCAUGUCUUGGCUGUUGUAAAUAGUGCUGCAGUAAAUGCUGGGGUGCAUGUAUCUUUUCAAAUUAUGGCUUUCUCUGGAUAUAUGCCUAGGUGUGGGUUUGCUGGAUUAUAUGGUAUUUCUAUAUUUAGUUUUUUUAAAGGAAACUCCAUGCUG
Molecule: long non-coding RNA, 3356 nt
Filed under: Sus scrofa (pig)
Lineage: Eukaryota; Metazoa; Chordata; Mammalia; Artiodactyla; Suidae
Description: lncRNA (ENSSSCG00040054531.1)
Source: RNAcentral